Molecule: non-coding RNA, 2097 nt
Organism: Nicotiana tabacum (common tobacco)
Lineage: Eukaryota; Viridiplantae; Streptophyta; Magnoliopsida; Solanales; Solanaceae
Source: RefSeq, a predicted model, not a curated record
AUCAGAUUUUGAGCACACUACAAACUCUAUUAAAAAGGUCUUACAAAAGGCUCUCAUCUCUCUCAAGUUUGAGAGCCAACAACCGCUAGCUCCCUAAAAGUGUUCUCUCAAAACUCUCUCUUUUGAGAAAUGGCUACCGCCAGAGCUGACCACCGGCCGGCAAGGCACCGGCACCCGCUGCCUCUUCGUCCUUCCCCCACUGUUUUUCUUGUGCCUCUCACCCCCUCCCCCGCAUCGAUCAGAUCUGAGAAUAUUCAAGCCGGCAAAGGAUCGUUUCCAGCAGAUCCAUGUGUUUAUCGGCGUUGGCUUUGAUUCUGCCAUUGUUUCCGGCAAGCGAAGAUGAGUUGUUGCCUUUUUCUUUUGCUUGUUUCUUUUUCUACUGAUAUUACUGGACUUGAACAAAUGCUGAUCGCUCGUCUCUUUCGCCGUUUUGCCCAGAUCUGAAAAGAUCUUUGGCCAGAGAUGCAAGCUCUGAUACCGGAGGUCUUCGCUGCCAUGUAUCUUUUCGGCAUUGUUCCGGUGUUAGCGCCGUUGAAGCAGCGCUAACAGGUUUAGGCCGAUGGUUUUGCUUUCUUUGUUUUUCGCGUUUGUGCUCAGAUCUGGCCGGAAUAUUUUUCGGCAGCCUCCAUGUUUUCCGGCGACUGAACUUAUGAUAUAUUAUCACCAUAUAUUGUGUUAGCCAUUUGGGAUUAAAGUUGUUUUGUUUCUGCUGUUUUGCCCUCCCAUUGUUUGAAGCUAAUAUGGUCUGUUCUGUUGUUGCCUUACCGGAAAUCCGGUCCUAGCGUGCCAGUGACCACUCUGUUUCUUCUCGUUUGUCGGAAAUCCUUACUUGGUUUUCAUGGCCAUUAUCUUGGUACCAUUAUAUCAAUUGUGUGAUGUAUGAUUUAUAUUGGAAUGUUUCUUCAAGUAUUGGCAUGAUUGGAUUGCUAACCUUAGGCUUGAUUCAGUCCUUGGUCGUUUGGUUAAUCUUGAUGAAUGACUUUUAUCAUAGUGAAAUACAAUAUUGAUUAAGGGCAUCGAUUGGUACUGUUUUAUUGUGUACUCGAAGUUGUGAUAGGCUGCUGGGAUCUCGGUUACAUUCGUGUGGGUUUGAAGUUAACUUUACACUGCUUUGAUGACCUCCUUCUCGUGUUAGUAUAAACUGAUAAUGAACAAGAUAGGUACAUUGUUCAAGGCCGAUGAGUAAAAAAGUUUUGAGGCCUUAUGAUGAAAUUUUGACUGAUAAAGAACAAGAUACUACACCGUACUUCGGACCCGAAACAAAUACAUUUUAUGAGGCGAUGACCAAUGCCAAAGAAAAAUAAAAGACGAGAAUGUGAAUAUAUGUGCUUCAGGAGGCAACACGGUUGGCCGCCGGAGUUGCAACCAAGUCAAUGUUCGCAUACUAAUGUCUUAUUGCUAUACGACAUACUACACAAUCCGAGCCUCCUAUAAUAUUUUAAAACUAUUUUCCAAAAAUAAUUUCCAAAAACUAUUUUUUAAACAAUCUUUCGGAAGCGAAAAUAUUUUCAAAUCAUUUUCGAGAGCAACUUUUCAAAGACAUUUUAAAACAAAACUAUUUCAAAAAUAUGUCACUUUAUUAGUUUGUUUUUUACGUUACAUUAUUUUGCUAACUAUUUGAUUUCUCUUAUCUUGCGAGGUACUUUAUUCGAAACGCUUUGGAAAGAUGACGCUCGGAGACGAAAUGAACCCCGUCAAAUUCCCCGCUUCGCACUUUCUAUUCUAGGAUGGUGCAACAACAUGGUGACUCUGCUGGGGAUACUUCAAGUUCUAACCACAACAGAUUUGAUCAACUACUUGAGGGAUUACAGGUUCUCAAAUAUUCCAAUUUCUAUUCUUUAUGUCACAUGAUACAAGUCGUAUAUUCUUCAAGUUGUAUAUUCUUUGUUUCAAGUUGUACUCUUUAUUGAAGUUAUAUAUUCAGUGCUUUAAGCGGUAUAUUCUCUGCUCCAAGCAGUAUAUUCUAUGUCAUGCGUUUGCUCCAAGUCAUAUAUUCCAUGUGAUGCACUUCUAGCAGUAUAUUCUUUGUUAUGCGCUUCAAGCAGUGUAUUCUUUGUCAUAUACUUUAAGUGGUAUAUUCUUUGUCAUUCGCUUCAA